CCUACGGGAGUCAGCAGUGAGGAAUAUUGGUCCAUGGGCUUACGCCUGAACCAGCCAAGUCGCGUGAGGGAAGACUGCCCUAUGGGUUGUCAACCUCUUUUGUCAGGGAGCAACGCCGGCUAAGUGUAGACGGCCUGAGAGUACCUGCAGCAAAAGCAUCGGCUAACGCAGUGCCAGCAGCCGCGGUAAUACGGAAGAUGCGAGCAUUAUUCGGAUUUAUUGGGUUUAAAGGGUGCUUAUGCGGAAUGCCAAGUCAGCGGUAAAAUCGCGCGGGUCAACCUUGCUCCGCCGUUGAAACUGGCGUUCUGGAGGGGGCGAGAAGUAUGCGGGAUGCGUGGGGUAGCGGUGAAAUGCAUAGAUAUCACGAAGAACUCCGAUUGCGAAGGCAGCAUACCGGAGCCCAACUGACGCUGAAGCACGAAAGCGUGGGUAUCGAACAGGAUUAGAUACCCCAGUAGUC
RNAcentral lists this ribosomal RNA (460 nucleotides) under uncultured bacterium. RNAcentral's name for it is "partial 16S ribosomal RNA". It matches the Rfam family "Bacterial small subunit ribosomal RNA", at positions 338 to 795 of the family's 1533-position model. The record is from RNAcentral.